Molecule: ribosomal RNA, 496 nt
Filed under: uncultured bacterium
Lineage: Bacteria
Description: partial 16S ribosomal RNA
Rfam family: Bacterial small subunit ribosomal RNA
Source: RNAcentral
GAUGAACGCUGGCGGCGUGCCUAAUACAUGCAAGUCGAGCGAACGGACGAGAAGCUUGCUUCUCUGAUGUUAGCGGCGGACGGGUGAGUAACACGUGGAUAACCUACCUAUAAGACUGGGAUAACUUCGGGAAACCGGAGCUAAUACCGGAUGAUAUUUUGAACCGCAUGGUUCAAAAGUGAAAGACGGUCUUGCUGUCACUUAUAGAUGGAUCCGCGCUGCAUUAGCUAGUUGGUAAGGUAACGGCUUACCAAGGCAACGAUGCAUAGCCGACCUGAGAGGGUGAUCGGCCACACUGGAACUGAGACACGGUCCAGACUCCUACGGGAGGCAGCAGUAGGGAAUCUUCCGCAAUGAGCGAAAGCCUGACGGAGCAACGCCGCGUGAGUGAUGAAGGUCUACGGAUCGUAAAACUCUGUUAUUAGAGAAGAACAUAUGUGUAAGUAACUGUGCACAUCUUGACGGUACCUAAUCAGAAAGCCACGGCUAACUGCGU